AAUCCAGACUCCUACGGGAGGCAGCAGUGAGGAAUAUUGGUCAAUGGGCGGAAGCCUGAACCAGCCAAGUCGCGUGAGGGAAGAAGGCCCUGCGGGUCGCAGACCUCUUUGGACGGGGAGCAAGGCCGCCGACGUGUCGGCGGAAGGAGAGUACCCGUAGAACAAGCAUCGGCUAACUCCGUGCCAGCAGCCGCGGUAAUACGGAGGAUGCGAGCGUUAUCGGGAUUGAUUGGGUUUAAAGGGAGCGCGGGCGGCACGGCAAGCCGGCGGUAAAAUCGCGGGGCUCAACGCGGACCGGCCGUCGGAACUGCCGGGCUAGAGUGGGCGAGAAGUGCGCGGAAUGCGUGGGGUAGCGGUGAAAUGCAU
This 366-nucleotide ribosomal RNA is filed under the name uncultured bacterium. RNAcentral's name for it is "partial 16S ribosomal RNA". It matches the Rfam family "Bacterial small subunit ribosomal RNA", at positions 328 to 691 of the family's 1533-position model. The record is from RNAcentral.